RNAcentral lists this ribosomal RNA (434 nucleotides) under uncultured Lachnospiraceae bacterium. Its description in RNAcentral is "partial 16S ribosomal RNA". It matches the Rfam family "Bacterial small subunit ribosomal RNA", at positions 341 to 792 of the family's 1533-position model. The record is from RNAcentral. Lineage: Bacteria; Bacillati; Bacillota; Clostridia; Lachnospirales; Lachnospiraceae.
ACGGGAGGCAGCAGUGGGGAAUAUUGCACAAUGGGGGAAACCCUGAUGCAGCGACGCCGCGUGAGUGAAGAAGUAUUUCGGUAUGUAAAGCUCUAUCAGCAGGAAAGAAAAUGACGGUACCUGACUAAGAAGCCCCGGCUAACUACGUGCCAGCAGCCGCGGUAAUACGUAGGGGGCAAGCGUUAUCCGGAUUUACUGGGUGUAAAGGGAGCGUAGACGGUAAGGCAAGUCUGAAGUGAAAUGCCAGGGCUCAACCCUGGAACUGCUUUGGAAACUGUCCUACUAGAGUGCAGGAGAGGUAAGUGGAAUUCCUAGUGUAGCGGUGAAAUGCGUAGAUAUUAGGAGGAACACCAGUGGCGAAGGCGGCUUACUGGACCGUAACUGACGUUGAGGCUCGAAAGCGUGGGGAGCAAACAGGAUUAGAUACCCUGGUA